Molecule: non-coding RNA, 694 nt
Organism: Xyrichtys novacula (pearly razorfish)
Lineage: Eukaryota; Metazoa; Chordata; Actinopteri; Labriformes; Labridae
Source: the annotation of a GenBank genome assembly
UGAAAAUGAACUUGAGGUAAGUGCCUUAAUGGACUCGUUUGGGAGCUGCCACCGUGUCAAAAGCAACUUGUUAGAAUGAGAUCAAGAGAGGGAGGCCUGAUUAAUUAUUUGCAUAUAUUAGAUUGGUGUAUCCGCUAAGACUAAAGCGGGCUCUCUUGACAUCAAGUUAUCCUGCUGAGGUUUAACCAGUCUCUGCACUCAUAAUAAAGGGAUCAUCACCCAUUAGGGAUAUCCUGUUUUCAUCAGAGAAAUUAGUCAUUACUCCGCAUGGUUAAAUUUGUCUUAUUUAUUAUUUCAGGGCGUUUUCAUGCACCUCAAACUCAUCUGCAGGGUGCAAUGAGGGAAGGACUCGGAGGUAAUACGCCAUUCCGUAAGAAACUUUCUUUCUGUGCUCCAAUUACGCCUCCUGAAGGAUUUUUUGCUCAGAUUCAUCCACAGCACCUGCAGAAUGUGAAUUCCCCCCAUCCUUUUGUUCUGUCUCAUUUAACGCCAGCCUCCCCUGAGAAGACGGCAGUGUGUCCUCUUUGAGGGAAGGUGAUCCGGAGUGGCAACCAAACUUUUCUUCCCCCCCUCUCCUUCAAAAAGGUGGGAGAUACAAGGGGGCAAAAAGAAUUCAUUCCGUCUCCCUGCCGUGAAAAGUGUUGGCAAGUGAAGGCGCGGUGGACAUGUUUCCUGCAGAGAAAACCCAGCGAGG